RNAcentral lists this ribosomal RNA (252 nucleotides) under uncultured bacterium. RNAcentral's name for it is "partial 16S ribosomal RNA". It matches the Rfam family "Bacterial small subunit ribosomal RNA", at positions 524 to 776 of the family's 1533-position model. The record is from RNAcentral.
UACGUAAGGCCCGAGCGUUGUCCGGAUUUAUUGGGCGUAAAGGGAACGCAGGCGGUUAAGCAAGUUAGAAGUGAAAUCCUAUAGCUUAACUAUAGUAAGCUUUUGAAACUGUUCAACUUGAGGGAUGGAAGGGAGAGUGGAAUUCCUUGUGUAGCGGUGAAAUGCGCAGAUAUUUGGAGGAAUACCGGUGGCGAAGGCGGCUUUCUGGCCUUAAACUGACGCUGAGGUUCGAAAGCGUGGGUAGCAAACAGG